UAUUUUGUAGUGCAGAAGAAUACUUGUCGGAAGAUAUUCUGACUAAAUCCUCCUCCGGAUUAUAUCUUGGUCCAACCAAUAAUCGUAAUACAUGUCGUUGUUUCUCCUCUAGCAAAGGAAUAUUCGUAACUUUAAAUGUAACAACGACCUUCGGAUUCAUUUUCUCAAACGAAGACAUUUGGACAUCAGAUUCAAACCUAAAGAUCUGGCUAUCAGCAGGCUUUUUAAAAGACUGUGUGUAAGCUAUAAUUGUCAGAGAAAAUGGAACAUUAAGCAUAUUAAAGUGAUUGUGAAAUAGAAUUCCUAAGGUAAAACUACCCAG
Schizosaccharomyces pombe (fission yeast) is the source of this 322-nucleotide non-coding RNA. Lineage: Eukaryota; Fungi; Ascomycota; Schizosaccharomycetes; Schizosaccharomycetales; Schizosaccharomycetaceae. The record is from the annotation of a GenBank genome assembly.